This 1326-nucleotide long non-coding RNA is filed under the name Homo sapiens (human). RNAcentral describes it as "HSALNT0280950". The record is from RNAcentral. Lineage: Eukaryota; Metazoa; Chordata; Mammalia; Primates; Hominidae.
UGAGAUCAUGCCACUGCAUUCUACCCCGGCGACAAAGCAAGACUCCAUCUCAAAAAAAAAAAAAAAAAAAAAGAAGAAGAAAAAAAAAUGAUGAGUACAUGUCAAAAGGACACAAGAGCCAGCCUGAAGGACCUCCACUGGCCAAACGUCGAACAAUGCACAUCAAAAUAAAGGAAGACAGUGAUGGAUCAUAACAUGUUGAAUAAAAUAGGACUCCAUGAGUCCAUAUUAUAACUAGAUAGGGAAAUAAAUAAUGGCAAAGAAAGAAUGCCAAAUGAUAAAUGUGGGGUGGUAGAGUUGAGGGAGGAUACUGCAACCCGUAGAGGUGCUAUGAUUUUGUAAUCAUUAUAGUCAAGUUCGAUUCAGGCAAGAAUCAUCAGUGGAUGCUACAUCCAGGGGUGUGGGAUUCAAUGAUCAGCAGGCUAUUUGUACUGGCUAGAAAGAUCUCCCUACAGAUUGCUUAUUAGUUGCAAGGGUAGAGAGUAACUACACAGCAGAGAAGCUGGACAACAUCUUGACUACAUAGUCAAAACUAACCUUAACAAAGAGGAGCAGUCAGAUAUCAUGUGCCUCUAGCUGUGAUUCCUGAAAAGGAGACUUCACGGUGUAUUUAAGUUAAGAAUAUAUAACUGAAUCUAAUGUUAGGCUUCCGAAUGAUAAGAAAAACCCAAAUUGAGGAAUAUUCUAUAAAGUAACUAGUUUGUAUUCUUCAGAACUGUUAAUGUCAAUUAAGACAAAGGCUGAAAAAGCUCCAGAUUAAAGAUCAAAGAGACAUGAAAUUAAAUGCAAUUCAAGAUUCUAAACAGGAGGAACAUAAAGUACAUUAUUGGGACAAGUAAUAAAACUGAAACAUGCACUGUAGAUUUCAGUAUUUUGCCAAUGUUAAAUUUCUAAGUGGUUACAUAAGAAUAUCCUUUUUUGAUGGGAAAUAUACACUGAAGUAUUAAGAGAUCAAGAAGCAUAACAUAUAUAGCCUACACUCAAAUGGUUCAGAAAAAAACUUAUAUAUGUAAAUAAAUCUGUAUGUGUGUUUGUCAAUCUAGGAAAAAGCUAUAGAGGAGUUUUCUGUAAAACUCUUACAAUUUUUCUAUUAAGUGUGAAAUGAUUUCCAAAGCCAAUGACGAUAGAAAUACCGAACCCAAAUUCAUUUGGUUUUGCAUAGGUUGUGUCUAACAGGAAGAGAAGCCAAUCACAGUAUUUGGACUAAAAUAUGGGACUAUAGUCAAGGUUGUAGUUUUUUCUGAGACGGAGUCUCGCUCUGUCGCCCAGGCUGGAGUGCAGUGGCGCCAUCUCGGCUCACUGCAAGCUCCGACUCCCAGGUUCACG